AGCCUGAUCCAGAGAGAAAGAGG
This 23-nucleotide non-coding RNA is filed under the name Mus musculus (house mouse). Lineage: Eukaryota; Metazoa; Chordata; Mammalia; Rodentia; Muridae. RNAcentral also lists the same sequence under 1 other name. The record is from RNAcentral.